Molecule: ribosomal RNA, 492 nt
Filed under: uncultured bacterium
Lineage: Bacteria
Description: partial 16S ribosomal RNA
Rfam family: Bacterial small subunit ribosomal RNA
Source: RNAcentral
AGUGAACGCUGGCGGUAGACCUAACACAUGCAAGUCGAACGGCAGCACAGUAAGAGCUUGCUCUUACGGGUGGCGAGUGGCGGACGGGUGAGGAAUACAUCGGAAUCUACUUUUUCGUGGGGGAUAACGUAGGGAAACUUACGCUAAUACCGCAUACGACCUACGGGUGAAAGCAGGGGAUCUUCGGACCUUGCGCGAUUGAAUGAGCCGAUGUCGGAUUAGCUAGUUGGCGGGGUAAAGGCCCACCAAGGCGACGAUCCGUAGCUGGUCUGAGAGGAUGAUCAGCCACACUGGAACUGAGACACGGUCCAGACUCCUACGGGAGGCAGCAGUGGGGAAUAUUGGACAAUGGGCGCAAGCCUGAUCCAGCCAUACUGCGUGGGUGAAGAAGGCCUUCGGGUUGUAAAGCCCUUUUGUUGGGAAAGAAAAGCAGCAGGUUAAUACCCCGCUGUUCUGACGGUACCCAAAGAAUAAGCACCGGCUAACUUCGUG